CAUGCCAUCAGAUGUGCCCAGAUGGGAUUAGCUAGUAGGUGGGGUAACGGCUCACCUAGGCGACGAUCCCUAGCUGGUCUGAGAGGAUGACCAGCACACUGGAACUGAGACACGGUCCAGACUCCUACGGGAGGCAGCAGUGGGGAAUAUUGCACAAUGGGCGCAAGCCUGAUGCAGCCAUGCCGCGUGUGUGAAGAAGGCCUUCGGGUUGUAAAGCACUUUCAGCGGGGAGGAAGGCGGUGAGGUUAAUAACCUCAUCGAUUGACGUUACCCGCAGAAGAAGCACCGGCUAACUCCGUGCCAGCAGCCGCGGUAAUACGGAGGGUGCAAGCGUUAAUCGGAAUUACUGGGCGUAAAGCGCACGCAGGCGGUCUGUCAAGUCGGAUGUGAAAUCCCCGGGCUCAACCUGGGAACUGCAUUCGAAACUGGCAGGCUAGAGUCUUGUAGAGGGGGGUAGAAUUCCAGGUGUAGCGGUGAAAUGCGUAGAGAUCUGGAGGAAUACCGGUGGCGAAGGCGGCCCCCUGGACAAAGACUGACGCUCAGGUGCGAAAGCGUGGGGAGCAAACAGGAUUAGAUACCCUGGUAGUCCACGCCGUAAACGAUGUCGAUUUGGAGGUUGUGCCCUUGAGGCGUGGCUUCCGGAGCUAACGCGUUAAAUCGACCGCCUGGGGAGUACGGCCGCAAGGUUAAAACUCAAAUGAAUUGACGGGGGCCCGCACAAGCGGUGGAGCAUGUGGUUUAAUUCGAUGCAACGCGAAGAACCUUACCUGGUCUUGACAUCCACAGAACUUUCCAGAGAUGGAUUGGUGCCUUCGGGAACUGUGAGACAGGUGCUGCAUGGCUGUCGUCAGCUCGUGUUGUGAAAUGUUGGGUUAAGUCCCGCAACGAGCGCAACCCUUAUCCUUUGUUGCCAGCGGUCCGGCCGGGAACUCAAAGGAGACUGCCAGUGAUAAACUGGAGGAAGGUGGGGAUGACGUCAAGUCAUCAUGGCCCUUACGACCAGGGCUACACACGUGCUACAAUGGCAUAUACAAAGAGAAGCGACCUCGCGAGAGCAAGCGGACCUCAUAAAGUAUGUCGUAGUCCGGAUUGGAGUCUGCAACUCGACUCCAUGAAGUCGGAAUCGCUAGUAAUCGUAGAUCAGAAUGCUACGGUGAAUACGUUCCCGGGCCUUGUACACACCGCCCGUCACACCAUGGGAGUGGGUUGCAAAAGAAGUAGGUAGCUUAACCUUCGGGAGGGCGCUUACCACUUUGUGAUUCAUGACUGGGGUGAAGUCGUAACAAGGUAACCG
Molecule: ribosomal RNA, 1294 nt
Filed under: Klebsiella pneumoniae IS43
Lineage: Bacteria; Pseudomonadati; Pseudomonadota; Gammaproteobacteria; Enterobacterales; Enterobacteriaceae
Description: SSU rRNA
Rfam family: Bacterial small subunit ribosomal RNA
Source: RNAcentral